This 815-nucleotide ribosomal RNA is filed under the name uncultured Gemmatimonadota bacterium. RNAcentral's name for it is "bacterial SSU rRNA". It matches the Rfam family "Bacterial small subunit ribosomal RNA", at positions 82 to 896 of the family's 1533-position model. Lineage: Bacteria; Pseudomonadati; Gemmatimonadota. The record is from RNAcentral.
CUCGCAAGGGCAACCGGCGAACGGGUGCGUAACACGUGAGCAAUCUGCCGAUUUCUGGGGGAUAGCCGGCCCAACGGCCGGGUAAUACCGCAUACGUUCUCGAGGGGGAGUCCCCUUGGGAAGAAACCUCCGGGGGAAAUCGAGGAGCUCGCGGCCUAUCAGCUAGUUGGCGGUGUAAUGGACCACCAAGGCUAUGACGGGUAGCUGGUCUGAGAGGAUGGCCAGCCACAUUGGGACUGAGAGACGGCCCAGACUCCUACGGGAGGCAGCAGUGGGGAAUCUUGCGCAAUGGCCGAAAGGCUGACGCAGCGACGCCGCGUGUGGGAUGAAGCAUUUCGGUGUGUAAACCACUGUUGCCCGGGACGAACAGCUUCCUUCGAGGAGCCUGACGGUACCGGGUGAGGAAGCACCGGCUAACUCCGUGCCAGCAGCCGCGGUAAUACGGAGGGUGCGAGCGUUGUCCGGAAUCACUGGGCGUAAGGGGCGCGUAGGUGGCCUGUGGAAGUCUGCGGUGAAAGCCCGGCGCUCAACGCCGGGUCGGCCGUGGAUACUCUCGGGCUUGAGCUUACUAGAGGCAGAUGGAAUUCCGGGUGUAGCGGUGGAAUGCGUANAGAUCCGGAAGAACACCGGUGGCGAAGGCGGUCUGCUGGGGUAAUGCUGACACUGAUGCGCGACAGCGUGGGGAGCAAACAGGAUUAGAUACCCUGGUAGUCCACGCCGUAAACGAUGGGCACUAGGUGCUUGGGGGAGCGACCCCCUGAGUGCCAUCGCUAACGCAUUAAGUGCCCCGCCUGGGGAGUACGGCCGCAAGGCUG